UACGGAGGGUGCAAGCGUUGUUCGGAUUUAUUGGGCGUAAAGCGCGUGUAGGCGGUCUCUUAAGUCUGAUGUGAAAGCCCCGGGCCCAACCCGGGAAGUGCAUUGGAUACUGGGAGACUUGAAUACGGGAGAGGGUAGUGGAAUUCCUAGUGUAGGAGUGAAAUCCGUAGAUAUUAGGAGGAACACCGGUGGCGAAGGCGGCUACCUGGACCGAUAUUGACGCUGAGACGCGAAAGCGUGGGGAGCAAACAGG
This 253-nucleotide ribosomal RNA is filed under the name uncultured bacterium. RNAcentral's name for it is "partial 16S ribosomal RNA". It matches the Rfam family "Bacterial small subunit ribosomal RNA", at positions 524 to 776 of the family's 1533-position model. The record is from RNAcentral.